This 216-nucleotide ribosomal RNA is filed under the name uncultured bacterium. Its description in RNAcentral is "partial 16S ribosomal RNA". It matches the Rfam family "Bacterial small subunit ribosomal RNA", at positions 1285 to 1500 of the family's 1533-position model. The record is from RNAcentral.
AUCCCAGUUCGGAUCGCAGGCUGCAACCCGCCUGCGUGAAGUUGGAAUCGCUAGUAAUCGCGGAUCAGCAUGCCGCGGUGAAUACGUUCCCGGGCCUUGUACACACCGCCCGUCACACCAUGAGAGUCGGGAACACCCGAAGUCCGUAGCCUAACUGCAAAGGGGGCGCGGCCGAAGGUGGGUUCGAUAAUUGGGGUGAAGUCGUAACAAGGUAGC